GAACGCUAGCGACAGGCCUAACACAUGCAAGUCGAGGGCAGCACAAGGAGCAAUCUGAGGUGGCGACCGGCGCACGGGUGAGUAACACGUAUGCAACCUGCCUGUAAGCGGGGAAUAACCCGUUGAAAGACGGACUAAUACCGCAUAAUACUAAAUUACUGCAUGGUAAUUUAUUUAAACAUUUAUGGCUUACAGAUGGGCAUGCGCAUGAUUAGCUAGUUGGAGAGGUAACGGCUCCCCAAGGCAACGAUCAUUAGGGGUUCUGAGAGGAAGGUCCCCCACACUGGUACUGAGACACGGACCAGACUCCUACGGGAGGCAGCAGUGAGGAAUAUUGGUCAAUGGACGAGAGUCUGAACCAGCCAAGUCGCGUGCAGGAAGAAUUGUCCUAUGGAUUGUAAACUGUCUUUUGCGAGGGGAAUAAAGUGCAUCACGUGUGAUGUUUUGUAUGUACUCUGCGAAUAAGGAUCGGCUAACUCCGUGCCAGCCGCCGC
Molecule: ribosomal RNA, 494 nt
Filed under: uncultured bacterium
Lineage: Bacteria
Description: bacterial SSU rRNA
Rfam family: Bacterial small subunit ribosomal RNA
Source: RNAcentral